CCUACGUGUGGCAGCAGUGGGGAAUAUUGCACAAUGGGGGAAACCCUGAUGCAGCGACGCCGCGUGAGUGAAGAAGUAAUUCGUUACGUAAAGCUCUAUCAGCAGGGAAGAAAUACUAACCUUACGGUCAGCAGACGGUACCUGAGUAAGAAGCCCAGGCUAACUACGUGCCACCAGCCGCGGUACGACGUAGGGGGCAAGCGUUAUCCGGAUUUACUGGGUUUAAAGGGAGCGUAGACGGUGCGCCAAGUCUGGAGUGAAAUGCCGCGGCUUAACUGGGGAGCUGCAUUGGAAACUGGCGAACUAGAGUGCAGAAGGGGUAAGCGGAAGUCCUGGUGUAGCGGUGAAAUGCGUAGAUAUUAGGAGGAACACCAGUGGCGAAGGCGGCUUACUGGACCGUAACUGACGUUGAGGCUCGAAAGCGUGGGGAGCAAACAGGAUUAGAUACCCCAGUAGUC
This 458-nucleotide ribosomal RNA is filed under the name uncultured bacterium. Its description in RNAcentral is "partial 16S ribosomal RNA". It matches the Rfam family "Bacterial small subunit ribosomal RNA", at positions 338 to 795 of the family's 1533-position model. The record is from RNAcentral.